RNAcentral lists this ribosomal RNA (253 nucleotides) under uncultured bacterium. RNAcentral's name for it is "partial 16S ribosomal RNA". It matches the Rfam family "Bacterial small subunit ribosomal RNA", at positions 524 to 776 of the family's 1533-position model. The record is from RNAcentral.
UACAGGGGGGGCAAGCGUUGUUCGGAAUUACUGGGCGUAAAGGGCUCGUAGGCGGCCAACUAAGUCACACGUGAAAUCCCCAGGCUUAACCUGGGAACUGCGUCUGAUACUGGAUGGCUUGAAUUCGGGAGAGGGAUGCAGAAUUCCAGGUGUAGCGGUGAAAUGCGUAGAUAUCUGGAGGAAUACCGGUGGCGAAGGCGGCAUCCUGGACCGAGAUUGACACUGAUGAGCGAAAGCCAGGGGAGCAAACGGG